RNAcentral lists this non-coding RNA (23 nucleotides) under Arabidopsis thaliana (thale cress). The record is from RNAcentral. Lineage: Eukaryota; Viridiplantae; Streptophyta; Magnoliopsida; Brassicales; Brassicaceae.
UAGUGUUCUUUUGCAAAAAUAAC